UGCCGAGGAAAACCUCGGUAGUUAACUGCCGCUUGUUUCAUUUUUCCUCGGUAGUUAACUGUCGAGGCGUCC
RNAcentral lists this microRNA precursor (72 nucleotides) under Medicago truncatula (barrel medic). RNAcentral describes it as "MIR2629 microRNA precursor family". It matches the Rfam family "MIR2629 microRNA precursor family". The record is from Rfam by way of RNAcentral. Lineage: Eukaryota; Viridiplantae; Streptophyta; Magnoliopsida; Fabales; Fabaceae.